This 459-nucleotide ribosomal RNA is filed under the name uncultured bacterium. Its description in RNAcentral is "partial 16S ribosomal RNA". It matches the Rfam family "Bacterial small subunit ribosomal RNA", at positions 338 to 795 of the family's 1533-position model. The record is from RNAcentral.
CCUACGGGUGGCAGCAGUGAGGAAUAUUGGUCAAUGGGCGGGAGCCUGAACCAGCCAAGCCGCGUGAGGGAAGAAGGUCCGGCGUAUCGUAAACCUCUUUUGUCAGGGAACAAAGUCGGGGACUCGUCCCCGUAUGCGUGUACCUUACGAACAAGCAUCGGCUAACUCCGUGCCAGCAGCCGCGGUAAUACGGAGGAUGCGAGCGUUAUCCGUAUUUAUUGGGUUUAAAGGGUGCGCAGGGGGCCUGUUAAGUCAGCGGUAAAAGCCCGGUGCUCAACCCCGGCUAGCCGUUGAAACUGGCGGGCUGGAGUUGGAGAGAAGUACGCGGAAUGCGCGGUGUAGCGGUGAAAUGCUUAGAUAUCGCGCAGAACCCCGAUUGCGAAGGCAGCGUACCGGCUCCACACUGACGCUGAGGCACGAAAGCGUGGGUAUCGAACAGGAUUAGAUACCCGGGUAGUC